UACCAUGAUGAGCAUUUAUUUUACUGCGUUAUCGUAUUGAUGGGGGCUGUUUAAGUACAGUGUUGUUCUAUAAUCUAUAUUCAUUUAUAUUUUAUAUUUCUUACCAAGGAAAUUGACUUUUAACAGAUUUGCUGAAA
RNAcentral lists this small nucleolar RNA (137 nucleotides) under Saccharomyces paradoxus NRRL Y-17217. Its description in RNAcentral is "Small nucleolar RNA snR68". It matches the Rfam family "Small nucleolar RNA snR68". Lineage: Eukaryota; Fungi; Ascomycota; Saccharomycetes; Saccharomycetales; Saccharomycetaceae. The record is from Rfam by way of RNAcentral.